This 346-nucleotide unclassified non-coding RNA is filed under the name uncultured fungus. RNAcentral describes it as "sequence contains ITS1". The stretch from base 1 to 105 matches the Rfam family "5.8S ribosomal RNA", at positions 50 to 154 of the family's 154-position model. Lineage: Eukaryota; Fungi. The record is from RNAcentral.
AAACUGCGUUAAGCGGUGUGAAUUGCAGGACACGCCGAGCACUUGAUUUUCGAACGCAUAUUGCGGCCUCGAGUCUUUCUCGGGGCUUCGUCUGUCUGAGGGUCGGUAAAAGAAACUUAUGCUAAGAGCUGACACUCGAGGAGAGCCUUCACUGCGCACUCUUCGUUCAGCUGCAAAGUCUGCACAAUGUGACACGCGGAUUGCGAAUGCAACGCUACGCAGUUGCGCUAAUUCGCUCAAUCAGCAGCAAGUCACUGGUGCUUGUUUCUGGUGCUGCUAGUCAGUACCAACCAACAAUCUUUCCAACUUCGACCUCAGAUCAGGCGAGAUUACCCGCUGAAUUUAA